Molecule: ribosomal RNA, 477 nt
Filed under: uncultured bacterium
Lineage: Bacteria
Description: bacterial SSU rRNA
Rfam family: Bacterial small subunit ribosomal RNA
Source: RNAcentral
UUCGCAAUGCCCGAAAGGGUGACGAAGCGACGCCGCGUGUGGGAUGAAGGCCUUCGGGUUGUAAACCACUGUCGGGAGUUAAGAAUUGUAGGAAUGCUAAUAGUAUUUCUACUUGACUAAGGCUCCGGAGGAAGCCACGGCUAACUCUGUGCCAGCAGCCGCGGUAAUACAGAGGCGGCAAGCGUUGUUCGGAAUUACUGGGCGUAAAGAGCAUGUAGGCGGCUAUGUAAGUCGGUUGUGAAAGCCUUCCGCUUAACGGAAGAAUGGCGGUCGAAACUGCAUGGCUUGAGUGCGGGAGGGGAGAGUGGAACUUCUGGUGGAGCGGUGAAAUGCGUAGAUAUCAGAAGGAACGCCGGCGGCGAAAGCGGCUCUCUGGCCCGUAACUGACGCUGAGUGUGCGAAAGCUAGGGGAGCAAACGGGAUUAGAUACCCCGGUAGUCCUAGCCGCAAACGAUGGGCACUAAGUAGAGGGGUUUU